Molecule: long non-coding RNA, 467 nt
Organism: Uloborus diversus
Lineage: Eukaryota; Metazoa; Arthropoda; Arachnida; Araneae; Uloboridae
Exons: 3
Source: RefSeq, a predicted model, not a curated record
AAAGUUUCUUUCACUACUGAUAUGUGGAGCGUCGGAGUCAUAUGCUACGUUCUACUUUCAGGUUUAUCACCCUUCAUGGGUGACUCUGAUUUAGAAACUAUGGGUAAUGUUACAAAAGCAGAAUUUGACUUUGAAGAUGAUAGCUUCGAUAAAAUAUCAGAAACUGCCAAAGAUUUUAUUUCCAAGUUACUAAUUAAAGAUAUGACAUUACGAAUGAAUUCAGCACAAAGUUUAAAGCACCCCUGGCUUAAAGUAAGUAAAUUCAGUUCUCAAAUCUUAGAUUUGAUUAAAAUAUCAUAAUUAUUGAAUUCUACUCUCAUACUAUUUUAUAUCAUUUAAUGAAGAAGAUAGCGUAAAAUUUCAUUCUUGUCUAAAAAUAUUGUCUGCAAUGUGUUGUCUAUUAUUUAUUAAACAAAUUCAAAAAUAGUCUGAAAACUCAAUCAGUAUUAGAAUGGUCAAACUAGUUA